UAAGGUAGUGCUGAACGUACAGAAGUCAGCAGAGGCCAUAGUAGCUAAAAUGAAUCUAGCUUCAUUCGGGUGAAGGAC
Molecule: non-coding RNA, 78 nt
Filed under: pig gut metagenome
Source: RNAcentral